RNAcentral lists this ribosomal RNA (451 nucleotides) under uncultured bacterium. Its description in RNAcentral is "partial 16S ribosomal RNA". It matches the Rfam family "Bacterial small subunit ribosomal RNA", at positions 354 to 796 of the family's 1533-position model. The record is from RNAcentral.
GUGGGGAAUAUUGGACAAUGGGGGGAACCCUGAUCCAGUCAUGCCGCGUGUGUGAAGAAGGCCUUUUGGUUGUAAAGCACUUUAAGCGAGGAGGAGGCUACCGAGAUUAAUACUCUUGGAUAGUGGACGUUACUCGCAGAAUAAGCACCGGCUAACUCUGUGCCAGCAGCCGCGGUAAUACAGAGGGUGCAAGCGUUAAUCGGAUUUACUGGGCGUAAAGCGCGCGUAGGUGGCCAAUUAAGUCAAAUGUGAAAUCCCCGAGCUUAACUUGGGAAUUGCAUUCGAUACUGGUUGGCUAGAGUAUGGGAGAGGAUGGUAGAAUUCCAGGUGUAGCGGUGAAAUGCGUAGAGAUCUGGAGGAAUACCGAUGGCGAAGGCAGCCAUCUGGCCUAAUACUGACACUGAGGUGCGAAAGCAUGGGGAGCAAACAGGAUUAGAUACCCGAGUAGUCC